GAGCAUAUCAAUAAGCGGAGGAAAAGAAACUAACAAGGAUUCCCCUAGUAACUGCGAGUGAAGCGGGAAAAGCUCAAAUUUAAAAUCUGGCGGUUCUGCCGUCCGAGUUGUAAUCUGGAGAAGCGUUUUCCGUGUCGGACCGUGCACAAGUCUCUUGGAACAGAGCGUCAUAGAGGGUGAGAAUCCCGUCUUUGGCACGGACAGCCGAUACUUUGUGAUACGUUUUCAAAGAGUCGAGUUGUUUGGGAAUGCAGCUCAAAAUGGGUGGUAAAUUCCAUCUAAAGCUAAAUAUAGGCGAGAGACCGAUAGCGAACAAGUACCGUGAGGGAAAGAUGAAAAGCACUUUGGAAAGAGAGUUAAACAGUACGUGAAAUUGUUGAAAGGGAAACGCUUGAAGUCAGUCGCGUCUGCCGGGACUCAGCCUUACUUCGGUAUGGUGUAUUUCCUGGUUUGACGGGUCAACAUCGAUUUUGACCGAUGGAUAAAGGAGAAGGGAAUGUGGCACCUCCGGGUGUGUUAUAGCCCUCUUUGUAUACAUCGGUUGGGAUCGAGGACUGCAGCACGCCCUUGUGGCCGGGGGUUCGCCCUACGUAUCGUGCUUAGGAUGUUGACAUAAUGGCUUUAAGCGACCCGUCUUGAAACACGGACCAAGGAGUCUAACAUGCUCGCGAGUGUUAGGGUGGAAAACCCUUGCGCGUAAUGAAAGUGAAGGUUGGGACCUCUGCGAGGAGGGCACCGACGCCCGGCCCUGAAGUUCUCUGACGGUGCUGCGGUAGAGCGCGUAUGUUGGGACCCGAAAGAUGGUGAACUAUGCCUGAAUAGGGCGAAGCCAGAGGAAACUCUGGUGGAGGCUCGUAGCGAUUCUGACGUGCAAAUCGAUCGUCAAAUUUGGGUAUAGGGGCGAAAGACUAAUCGAACCAUCUAGUAGCUGGUCUGCA
Molecule: ribosomal RNA, 938 nt
Filed under: Pallidohirschioporus biformis
Lineage: Eukaryota; Fungi; Basidiomycota; Agaricomycetes; Hymenochaetales; Hirschioporaceae
Description: LSU rRNA
Rfam family: Eukaryotic large subunit ribosomal RNA
Source: RNAcentral